AAGUGGAGUCCUCCCUCCCGUAGUCCCGUAGAGGCAGAAAGCAGUCGCCGUCCAUCCCGAAUCCCUUCCCCCUUCUCUGCUCUGCUCUGCACAUCCAUCUUCUUCUUUCUUGGCUUUUCUUGGACUUGAACUUGGCCCGUCUUCUUCAGCUUCAACCCUAGCCCCCCAGGUUGUGGUGGUGGUGCUGGUGCUGCUUGAUGCCGCAGUCCAAUGAAGUAAGGUACACCGCACGCUCGAUCACACCCCCAGCAGACAGAGACAGCUCUUCAAAGUCGCCCCCUCCAAAGAGACGUGCCGCCUCAAGGUCACCUCCUCUUCCUCCUCCUCCUCCACUUCCCAAAGGCACGCACAUCAUCGCAAGGUCAUCUCCUUGCAAAAGGCGCAGCGUCUCAAGGUCUCCUCUGCCUAGAAGACGCAGCGUCUCAAGGUCUCCUCCUCCAAAGAGGCGUGGAAGAUCAAGGUCAAGAUCCAGGUCUCGGAAUAGAAGCCGCUCAAGCAGGAGUGCAGAUGAAGUAAGGAAUCCUGGGAACAACCUGUAUGUCACUGGACUGUCCACACGGACAUCCGGUGAUGACUUGGAGAAAUUCUUCAGUAAAGAGGGAAAGGUUAAAGACUGCCAUGUCGUUAUGGAUCCUCGUACAAAAGAAUCCCGUGGCUUUGCAUUUGUGACAAUGGACAAUAUCGAGGAUGCAAGGCGUUGCAUCAAAUACCUGCACCGUACUGUACUUGAAGGCCGCCUCAUCAGUGUGGCAAAGAAACGCUGGUUUAUCUUACAAAGCAAAUUUAUAUAUUGGGGCGGCCAUGGAUUCUGCACGGCCCAUUGCGUUGGUGCACUGGUGUAGCAUACACUAGUAAGGGUUUGUUCGAGUUAUGCUCUUACACAUUUCCAAUCCAGGAAAUGGAUAGUUCAUCUUGUUUAUGUGUUUCUUUGCUUUUCUUCUGCUGAUUUCCCUGACCAUGCAGCUUCCACAUUGUUGGCUGCCUCAACAUUGUUGUCUAUAAAAUUACUGAAUCAAGUACCGGUUGGUUCCUGCAACUUCACCAUCUGUUGCCUCUCCAUCACCAUCGUCCACUGCACUUUCUGCACUGACCUUAGACCUGAAGUCACUGCUAUGGUCUUGGGGUAAAAAAAGUCACAUGUCUCUGGACGUUGCAGGUCUACGUGUCACCACCGUAGACCUUGUUUCAAAUUUUCAAUAUGUGUUGAGCUACUGCGGCAAAAAGAACUCGCAAGAGGACCCCUACUCCUGGAGAAUACUGUGGCCCAAGAGGCGGGCGUUCUCAAGGGCGAGCACGGAGCCCUUCACCUCCCCGUUCUCGCAGACGGUCAAGGGAUCGAUCGAGGUCGCCAGGCGGAAG
This is an RNA transcript of Brachypodium distachyon (stiff brome), 1359 nucleotides long. It is a transcript of the gene named serine/arginine-rich splicing factor SR45a, with no coding region annotated. NCBI's taxonomy places the organism in Eukaryota, Viridiplantae, Streptophyta, Magnoliopsida, Poales, Poaceae. The transcript has 8 exons. The record is from RefSeq and is a predicted model, not a curated record.